GGGAAACCCGGCUGGAGUGAUCCAGUCAUCCUGCCCUGAAUACAUAGGGGCAGCGAAGCGAACGUGGGGAACUGAAACAUCUCAGUACCUGCAGGAAGAGAAAGAAAAAUCGAUUCCCCCAGUAGUGGUGAGCGAAAAGGGAACAGCCCAAACCCUGGAGAAGCAAUUUUCCAGGGGGUUGUGGGGCAGCCGAUACGUGAUGACAAGUGGGUAGCGGAACGGUCUGGGAAGGCCGGCCAUAGCGGGUGAGAGCCCCGUACGCGAAACUCACGAGUCCACCAGGCUGUACCCGAGUAGCUCGGGACACGAGGAAUCCCGAGUGAAUCCGCGGGGACCAUCCCGCAAGGCUAAAUACUCCCUGACGACCGAUAGUGAACCAGUACCGUGAGGGAAAGGUGAAAAGCACCCCCGCGAGGGGAGUGGAAAUAGACCCUGAAACUGUGAGCCCCCGGUAAACGGCGGCCGUAACAAUAACGGUCCUAAGGUAGCGAAAUUCCUGUCGGUAAGUUCCGACCUGCACGAAUGGCGUAACGACUUCCGCACUGUCUCGACCAGGGACU
RNAcentral lists this ribosomal RNA (560 nucleotides) under uncultured bacterium. Its description in RNAcentral is "bacterial LSU rRNA". The stretch from base 1 to 448 matches the Rfam family "Bacterial large subunit ribosomal RNA", at positions 121 to 565 of the family's 2925-position model. The record is from RNAcentral.